AGCUCAAAGUGGCAGAGAAAUCACAAGGACAAAAACAACAUGAAAAUGACAUGAGAGGAUGAAGCUAGUUACCUCUAAACACGAAGAGUCGAUGGUGGAGUCGAAGAAGAUCACCAAUGGGCGUCGUCGAUGUCGAUUCAUACUAUAACCAUUGAUUUUGAGCUUAAAAUGGAGGAGAGAUCAUAAAAAUAAAAAAACAUCAAAAAGAUAAAAGAGGAUGAAGUUAGUUACCCCUAGACUCGAGGAAACGAUGAUGGCGUCGAAGAAGAUCACCAAUGGGCACCGGAGAUGAAGAACAAGCAAGAACAAGCAAUGGCAAGCAAAAAGAGAGAGAAUAAAGCUCACUGAAUUUUGAAUGGGCUUGGUCUCGGAGAGAAAAAAGGAAGAAAGAUAUAACCCGUGCACCUUUAG
This 411-nucleotide long non-coding RNA is filed under the name Sorghum bicolor (sorghum). Its description in RNAcentral is "long non-coding RNA (SBIC_LNC014817)". The record is from RNAcentral. Lineage: Eukaryota; Viridiplantae; Streptophyta; Magnoliopsida; Poales; Poaceae.